GACCACUCCCGGAUGGGAGUCAAGGCCAUACGGACAGCCGGGUCCACUGCCGA
This 53-nucleotide small RNA is filed under the name human gut metagenome. RNAcentral's name for it is "Streptococcus sRNA SpF59 (ldcC RNA)". It matches the Rfam family "Streptococcus sRNA SpF59 (ldcC RNA)". The record is from RNAcentral.